RNAcentral lists this ribosomal RNA (559 nucleotides) under Neogloboquadrina dutertrei. RNAcentral's name for it is "SSU rRNA". The stretch from base 1 to 455 matches the Rfam family "Eukaryotic small subunit ribosomal RNA", at positions 1282 to 1608 of the family's 1831-position model. Lineage: Eukaryota; Foraminifera; Rotaliida; Globorotaliidae. The record is from RNAcentral.
GCAUGGCCGUUCUUAGUUCGUGGAGUGAUCUGUCUGCUUAAUUGCGUUUCACUAAGGGCCCAUAAAUUCAAGGUAUGUUAGCUAUCGUUUCUCAAUUGACCCCUUGUCUUCGAUAAGCGCGUGUCUUUUAGAGUUUAAACAUUGCGCAUGCUGUUGGGUCCUGAAAGCAACGAACGUGACCGCAACGUCUUAUUGCCUUUAUCUUGCUAUAUUUUAAUUUAAUUAAAAAUAGCUAACAGAGGCUAAUUUAAAAUUAGACGGACCGCUGUACUUUUCUUAAACCAGAGGAAGGUUGCGGCAAUAACAGGUCUGUGAUGCCCUUAGAUGUUCCGGGCUGCACACGUGCUACAAUGAUCAGUACAGUGAGCAUCUCAAUAUUAUACACCGUAUUAAGCGCUUAGUUGCGAUUAUUGGCUCAUUAUUGGGUCUUUUAAUUGUAUUUCUAAUGCGCGCGGUAAAGCCUGCUUCGAGAGUAAGUGGGUAAUCCAUUGGAAGUAAUGAUUUCUCUUUUUAUAGCACACCUAUAUACGGCAUUCAUUCCCGGGACGACUAGUUUCGU